GUUGUUUAAAUUGUUGAAGAAUAUUGAAAUCUCACAUCAAAAACUUGACCAAAUCAAAUACACCACAUAAUAAGUGAUUUCACUAUUAAUGACACCGAAGUUUUUUGUGAUAAAACCUCACACCUGCUAAACCAGAAAAACUUGUAAUCCCCGGUGUGAGGUGUGAGGUGUGAGGCAUAUGAUUUUAAUGAAAGAAAUAUAAUAUUUUCUUUAAUAAAAAAAGGACAAGUAUGUACCACCGUACCAAAUAGAGUUUGAUAUCAUCUUUGGUUUGUUUUCCAUUUAAUUUGUUGAUGACUUUGAAAAGUCUGUGUUGAUAAAUUUCAAACAAAGAAAAAUCAUAUGCCCCUGUUUUUCAAGGGACCUACGUACUCUUCUUAAGCCUAAGUUAGAAUUAACAAGAAAGUAAUCAGGAAUAUUCAUCGUAUUAACUUGUUAAGUCAAACACGAAAAUAAAAAUAUUAAUAUAAUACAUUAGGUUAUAAGAUAGAACUAAAUAUUCUCAUGUUGCUGCUGACAAGUAUACUCAAACCUCUGACCAUGCGCUUACGUCCGAAUCUGGUAUUUCUAGGAUUGAAAUAUUCAAAUCAUUUCAAUGUCUAUAUAAAGUGUUUUAAAAUAAUCAAAUGUUUAGAGUCCAAGAAGUACUCUUUUUAUAAAAAAAAAGGCAAAAAGUGGUUUUUGGUAAUGUAGUUUGACACUUUUACCAUUUUAGUCUCUAUCGUUUUAAUUUGAUCAAUUUUGUCCCUAUAGUUUUCAAUUAAAGCAAUUUAAGGACAAUCUUCAGUUUUUUGUCAAAAUAAGGUAACUGCCGGUUAAUUGUUGAGAGGCAUUUCGGUCCAAAAACAAAGGUAACCAAAACCCAAGAAUAAAAUAACAAAAAAAAAUUUAAAAAGUAAAAUAAGAUACCCAGAUAACCCAAACCCCACCGCCCCUAUCAUCCUCCCCCACCCCAGCAAGGAAUUGGCCUCAGAAUUAAUGGUGUACAGUCAUAGGCAUGGUUUCUCUAGGUUUGCAGCCAAGCUCACAAAGUCUGAAGCCCAAAAACUUUCAGUGGCUGCAAAUUCCGGGAAUUUUCAGAACGUUGGCGUUCUCGCCGUUGCGAUUGAUGACCAUUUUGAUGAAGCUGAGGGUGGGUUUAGGACAGAGGGCGAGGGAGGGGGAUCCGGAGGUCGU
Prunus avium (sweet cherry) is the source of this 1176-nucleotide non-coding RNA. NCBI's taxonomy places the organism in Eukaryota, Viridiplantae, Streptophyta, Magnoliopsida, Rosales, Rosaceae. The record is from RefSeq and is a predicted model, not a curated record.